GUACGUGAAACCGUUUAGGGGUAAACCUGAGAAACCCGAAAGGUCGAAGGGAGAAAUUCAUUCGCGUUUCGCAGUUAGCGUGAAGCGGUCGUGUGACGAAAGACGUUCGCGUAUUUCGCACCUUCCGUUUUUCGAUCUGACGGCGAACGCGUGCACUUUUCUCCUGGUAGGACGUCGCGAUCCGUUGAGUGUCGGUUUACGGCUCGCGGUGGAGCCCGUACGUACGAUCUAAUCGUUACUGUACGGACCCGCGUGUCCCAACUGACUCGCUCGACGGUACACGAACGGUUUUAGGCCGCUCUUUGAGCGUUCGGCUCGUUACAAGCGCGCCAGAUGUGCUGGAAAUCGGACCUGGUCCGAUCCCGGCCUCUGGUGACUGUUGGUGACGAAGUUCUCGAACAGACCUUUAACCGAUCUGCGACGCUAUAGCUUUGGGUACUUUCAGGACCCGUCUUGAAACACGGACCAAGGAGUCUAGCAUGUACGCAAGUCAUUGGGAAUCACUAAACCUAAAGGCGUAAUGAAAGUAAAAGUCUUCCUAGCGAAGACUUAGGGAGGAUGAGUGGUUUACUUCGUGUGGCCACUCCGCACUCCCGGGGCGUCUCAUUCUCAUUGCGAGAAGAGGCGCACCAAGAGCGUACACGCUGGGACCCGAAAGAUGGUGAACUAUGCCUGGUCAGGACGAAGUCAGGGGAAACCCUGAUGGAGGUCCGUAGCGAUUCUGACGUGCAAAUCGAUCGUCGGAACUGGGUAUAGGGGCGAAAGACUAAUCGAACCAUCUAGU
This 784-nucleotide ribosomal RNA is filed under the name Hydrotimetes natans. RNAcentral describes it as "partial large subunit ribosomal RNA". It matches the Rfam family "Eukaryotic large subunit ribosomal RNA", at positions 395 to 948 of the family's 3401-position model. The record is from RNAcentral. Lineage: Eukaryota; Metazoa; Arthropoda; Insecta; Coleoptera; Erirhinidae.